UCUGUGUUUUGUUAAACAGGUGUCGAUGGCUUAAUGAGUAUUGUAUCUUAUUGACCUGUUGGCAUGCUUUCGGAUGCCUUUAAACGGGUGUCGGGGGCGGACGGCAUCUGUACUUUGAACAAAUUUGAGUGCUCAAAGCAGGCCUAUGCGCCUGAAAAUUCUUGCAUGGAAUAAUGAAAUAGGACUUCGGUUCUAUUUUGUUGGUUUUCGGAUCCGAAGUAAUGGUUAAGAGGGACAGACGGGGGCAUUUGUAUGGCGGUGUUAGAGGUGAAAUUCUGGGAUCGCCGCCAGACAAACUACAGCGAAAGCAUUUGCCAAGAAUGUUUUCAUUGAUCAGGAGCGAAAGUCAGAGUUUCGAAGACGAUCAGAUACCGUCGUAGUUCUGACCAUAAACGAUGCCAACUGACGAUCCGCGUUGGUUCUAUAAUUGACAUCGCGGGCAGUCCCCGGGAAACCUUUAAGUCUUUGGGCUCCGGGGGGAGUAUGGUUGCAAAGCUGAAACUUAAAGGAAUUGACGGAAGGGCACCACCAGGAGUGGAGCCUGCGGUUUAAUUCGACUCAACACGGGAAAACUCACCCGGCCCGGACACUGUGAGGAUUGACAGAUUGAAAGCUCUUUCUUGAUUCGGUGGUUGGUGGUGCAUGGCCGUUCUUAGUUGGUGGAGCGAUUUGUCUGGUUAAUUCCGAUAACGAACGAGACUUUAACCUACUAAAUAGUAGACUGGUCCUCUGUGCUCGUUCAGGGCGCGGCUUCUACUGCUUCUUUAUGGAGUAGUGUGGUCGUGAUCCGACGGGUGCGGUGCCAGUUUUUACUUCUUAGAGGGACAAGCGGCACACUUAAGUCGCACGAAAUUGAGCAAUAACAGGUCUGUGAUGCCCUUAGAUGUCCGGGGCCACACGUGCGCUACAAUGACGGUGCCAGCGAGCCUGCAAACCUGGCCCGAAAGGGUUGGGCAAACUGUUUCAUCACCGUCGUGACUGGGAUCGGGGCUUGCAAUUAUUCCCCGUGAACGAGGAAUUCCUGGUAAGUGCAAGUCAUAAGCUUGCGCUGAUUACGUCCCUGCCCUUUGUACACACCGCCCGUCGCUACUACCGAUUGAAUGGUUUAGUGAGGUCGUUGGAUUGGUGUCGUUGUAGUGGCUUUAUCGCUGCUCGACUGAUAUCGAGAAGACGACCUAAUUUGACUAUUUAGAGGAAGUAAAAGUCGUAACAAGGUUUCCGUAGGUGAACCUGCGGAAG
This 1239-nucleotide ribosomal RNA is filed under the name Schistosoma japonicum. RNAcentral's name for it is "SSU rRNA". It matches the Rfam family "Eukaryotic small subunit ribosomal RNA", at positions 634 to 1823 of the family's 1831-position model. The record is from RNAcentral. Lineage: Eukaryota; Metazoa; Platyhelminthes; Trematoda; Strigeidida; Schistosomatidae.